AUUGGUCAAGUGGUGAUUAGAUGCAUAGUUGCAUAGUUCAAAUGACUAAUCCCUGAUUAUAACACUCUUUAGUCUUUCGCUCCUAUCCGAUGGCCUCU
This is a small nucleolar RNA of Salvia splendens (bonfire salvia), 98 nucleotides long. RefSeq annotates it as small nucleolar RNA snR60/Z15/Z230/Z193/J17. Lineage: Eukaryota; Viridiplantae; Streptophyta; Magnoliopsida; Lamiales; Lamiaceae. The record is from RefSeq and is a predicted model, not a curated record. The transcript has a single exon.